GAUGAACGCUGGCGGCGUGCCUAAUACAUGCAAGUCGAGCGAACAGAUGAGGAGCUUGCUCCUCUGACGUUAGCGGCGGACGGGUGAGUAACACGUGGAUAACCUACCUAUAAGACUGGGAUAACUUCGGGAAACCGGAGCUAAUACCGGAUAAUAUAUUGAACCGCAUGGUUCAAUAGUGAAAGACGGUUUUGCUGUCACUUAUAGAUGGAUCCGCGCCGCAUUAGCUAGUUGGUAAGGUAACGGCUUACCAAGGCGACGAUGCGUAGCCGACCUGAGAGGGUGGUCGGCCACACUGGAACUGAGACACGGUCCAGACUCCGACGGGAGGCAGCAGUAGGGAAUCUUCCGCAAUGGGCGAAAGCCGGACGGAGCAACGCCGCGUGAGUGAUGAAGGUCUUCGGAUCGUAAAACUCUGUUAUUAGGGAAGAACAAAUGUGUAAGUAACUAUGCACGUCUUGACGGUACCUAAUCAGAAAGCCACGGCUAACUACGUG
RNAcentral lists this ribosomal RNA (497 nucleotides) under uncultured bacterium. Its description in RNAcentral is "partial 16S ribosomal RNA". It matches the Rfam family "Bacterial small subunit ribosomal RNA", at positions 28 to 507 of the family's 1533-position model. The record is from RNAcentral.